GUGUUAUUACAGAACAAGGCAAAUGUGGAUGAGAAACGUCAAGAUGGCAGCACACCUCUACAUGAUGCAGCCUACGAGGGACACAGGGAGGUUGUGGAGGUGUUAUUACAGAACAAGGCAAAUGUUUAUGAGAAAGACGAUAAAGAAGAAACUGCUUUACAAAAAGCAGAGGCACAACAUCACGAUGAUAUUGCAAGGAUUAUAACUGAGGCAACAAAUAUACAUGACCUGACAACCAACCAUGGUACAAUUACAGAUAGGGUGACAACCGAUGGCCAGUUUCUUAUGAAAUCAUCGUCAAUUCCACACGGAAGCUUUAACAAUGGCGGUUGGCUUACAUCCACACCACUAACAUCAACGUGUCCCGUGAACCAGACAUCAGUAGAAUUGCCAGGGGUGUAUGUUCCGAGUCAACUGGGACAAGCAGUUUCCACAGACAGACAACGUGUUAUGGAAGAGAGAUACAUCGCCUUGCAGUCAUCCCAACCAUAUCAUAUAGACGGAAAUCUUAACAACUUUCUUACAGAUCCUGCACGCUUGGAGAUACGUUCACCCAAUCAAAGAUCAGAAACCAUAUAUGGAAUCUCAAGUCAUGUUCCCACCUAUGGCCAUGCUCCAGUAGUUGGUGACACAGUGCCUAGUUCAGAUACCACUAGUAAUUCUGAGAAUGUCAUCAUUCACUACACUGAGUCUGGGGAAAAGAUAGAGCUGCGGCAGCUCUAAAAGUGGUCUAGAAAGGAGUUACCAUUGUUAUUAUGGUGUCCGGUGUUACAGUAUACAUAUACAGUUUUACAACCUCUUUUAGGAGUCAGUAGUCCGAAUUUGGUUUGCAGAAAAUAACGAGCUAUUUGUCAUUUCUGUCGAUGUAGCAUUGAUGUUUCGGUAAGCAUAUCAAUUCCA
RNAcentral lists this long non-coding RNA (900 nucleotides) under Haliotis rufescens (red abalone). Its description in RNAcentral is "uncharacterized LOC125377883". The record is from RNAcentral. Lineage: Eukaryota; Metazoa; Mollusca; Gastropoda; Lepetellida; Haliotidae.